GGCUGGGUGGCUCAAUUGGUAGAGUGUUUGCCUCAAAUGACAGAAGCCCUGGGUUCAAUUCCCAGCACAGCUC
RNAcentral lists this transfer RNA (73 nucleotides) under Neotoma lepida (desert woodrat). It matches the Rfam family "tRNA". Rfam says of the family: Transfer RNA (tRNA) molecules are approximately 80 nucleotides in length. Their secondary structure includes four short double-helical elements and three loops (D, anti-codon, and T loops). Further hydrogen bonds mediate the characteristic L-shaped molecular structure. tRNAs have two regions of fundamental functional importance: the anti-codon, which is responsible for specific mRNA codon recognition, and the 3' end, to which the tRNAs corresponding amino acid is attached (by aminoacyl-tRNA synthetases). tRNAs cope with the degeneracy of the genetic code in two manners: having more than one tRNA (with a specific anti-codon) for a particular amino acid; and 'wobble' base-pairing, i.e. permitting non-standard base-pairing at the 3rd anti-codon position. The record is from Rfam by way of RNAcentral. Lineage: Eukaryota; Metazoa; Chordata; Mammalia; Rodentia; Cricetidae.